GAUGAACGCUGGCGGCGUGCCUAAUACAUGCAAGUCGAGCGAACGGACGAGAAGCUUGCUUCUCUGAUGUUAGCGGCGGACGGGUGAGUAACACGUGGAUAACCUACCUAUAAGACUGGGAUAACUUCGGGAAACCGGAGCUAAUACCGGAUAAUAUUUUGAACCGCAUGGUUCAAAAGUGAAAGACGGUCUUGCUGUCACUUAUAGAUGGAUCCGCGCUGCAUUAGCUAGUUGGUAAGGUAACGGCUUACCAAGGCAACGAUGCAUAGCCGACCUGAGAGGGGGGUUCGCCACCCCUGCACCGAGACCCCGGCCAGACCCCCACGGGAGGGCGCCGUAAGGGAUCUUCCGCAAUGGGGCGAAGCCCGACCGAGGCAAGCCGCCGGAAGUAUUAAGGUUUUCCGAUUCGAAAACCCUGUUUAUUGGGAAAGAAAAAUGUGGUAAGUAACUGUGCCCAUCUGGCGGGUACCAAAUCGAAAGGCCCCGCCAACCUCCGG
Molecule: ribosomal RNA, 497 nt
Filed under: uncultured bacterium
Lineage: Bacteria
Description: partial 16S ribosomal RNA
Rfam family: Bacterial small subunit ribosomal RNA
Source: RNAcentral